RNAcentral lists this ribosomal RNA (220 nucleotides) under uncultured bacterium. RNAcentral describes it as "partial 16S ribosomal RNA". It matches the Rfam family "Bacterial small subunit ribosomal RNA", at positions 118 to 334 of the family's 1533-position model. The record is from RNAcentral.
CCGGUAACCCACUCAGAGGGGGAGUAACACUUGGAAACAGGUGCUAAUACCGCAUAACAGUUUAUGCCGCAUGGCAUAAGAGUGAAAGGCGCUUCGGGUGUCGCUGAUGGAUGGACCCGCGGUGCAUUAGCUAGUUGGUGAGGUAACGGCUCACCAAGGCCACGAUGCAUAGCCGACCUGAGAGGGUGAUCGGCCACACUGGGACUGAGACACGGCCCAG